RNAcentral lists this long non-coding RNA (1250 nucleotides) under Olea europaea subsp. europaea. Lineage: Eukaryota; Viridiplantae; Streptophyta; Magnoliopsida; Lamiales; Oleaceae. The record is from RNAcentral.
UAAUAAUUCAAAUAGAAUAUAACUAAUAGUCCAAAAAGAAAAUAAAUAGUAAGUGGAUGUCCGCAUCAGAAAAACUUGGAUCUGUUCUAUAGUUUUAUGACUCCUACUCUUGUUUGAUUAUUGUAGUUUCUAUUUUUCCUGUAAAUGAACUUGGAAGUUAGAUCUAUUUUUGUUGUUUAGAGCUUGCUUGGCCAAGCUUAAAUAAAACUAGAAGUUACUUCAAAUAACAUUUUUGUUUUCAAACUUGUUCUUUUAUGUUACUAAUUUUUGUUUCCAAACUUGUUCUUUUUACACGUGGCUUGCUAAAAUAAUUAAUAACCUUGCUGAUGGAUUUGGAAUGAGCUUUUGGUAAGUGACUAACAUUACAGUUUAGUCCUGUCUUCUGCAGAUUAUUGACUUCAGAUUCUAUUGGUAAUAUUUUCGGCUUCUUGCGUACUGGAGAUAUGAUGAAUUAUCCCAUCCGUGGUUGAGAAUCAACUUUCUUUUUCUGGAAGAUGGGAUCCCAUUCUGCUGAGAUAAUGAAUUCUUGGUCAGUUGUGUCAGUGCAAGUCCUAUGCCGAUCCCAAUACUGGCGUUUGCCCUGGAAUUUCCCACUGCAGCCAAGAACCUGGAUUUGGACACUUGCAGACAAAUGUGAGAUCCUCGGGAAGUCUGCUUCUCUAGCAAAAAAUGGAACCAGCUCAAAGUUGAGCACAUCUGCCAUUAAUUUGGAAGUUAUAUACUUGUGUACAUGGUAUCCUGGAAAUACUAGGAUUUUUUAUGGUUUAGAAUGCCAGUGGGUGAAAGAUCUGUCGUGACUGAAUGUUGUUGUUUAGCUUCUGACUCGGGAGAUGAGUAGAAACAAUCAGUUUUGAAGCCAAGGAUCAAUGGUACAUCUCGAUUUGUCUGUUACCUUGUGAUAAUUCUUGCUCGUGGAAAAGCUAUUAGCUUUUAUGUCAACGUUUGCUUUUAUUUGCUGUCUGAAUCUGAUGUCCUUUUUCAGAGUCGGGCGAUAAUUUGUUGGUGGCAUCCAUUGACUUCUAUAGACGAUGAUUCUCUUAACAAAAUCUCGGAAGAUGCCUCAAUUGUUAUCCGGUAAAGACCAGAUGAAGGUUGUCUAUGUUGGACUGUUCAGUUUCAUCUUGCAAUACAUGUUCAAGAUGUAUUAAUACAUUAUUUUGUUUUGCAUUGUAAAAGAGAAUACUAAUUUUUACUGUUAUUAACUUGGAGGAAAACAUAUUAAUUGUGUUUACAGUCCAAUGUGUAACUCU